AGAGAUAUAUUAUAAUUAUUGUGCAUCAUCUCGACAUAUUCCAAGUGGGAAAUCAACUUUUACAGAUGAACGCCCAACCUGACUGGAGAGCUGCUGCUGAGUAGAGCAGCAACUAUCAUCUGCAUAGACUUCAUGCCCCAGGUUAGGGACUUGCAGUGUUUUUAAUGAAGCUUUGGUAAGGUCUCCCAGCAGGUCAGCCAUCAGCCCGGACAAUGACGUCUCCCACGUUACGGCGCAGGCGGCCAUCCGUCAUCUUCAAGAUAUCAUCGUCAUCCCCGGACAGCUGCACUCUGCUCGGCUCUUGCUCUCUCUCGGACAUAAAACAAAGACGGCAAGCCCAUUGUCUGCUGAUGAUUUCCCGGGAGUGAAAGCCGUUCUGCGCCACCGAGCUGUGUCUAAUUUGUCUGGGAAAAAAAGAAAUGCUCGAUAACCCUUUACCCCACCCCCUCCAGGAUGUUACGGAUGCUAAAAUGGAAGCAAAGGUGUUUUCCACAUUCGUGUAACAGCAGUGAUGAUAAAGUGGCAAGAAUUAAAUUACACGAGCAUGC
Long non-coding RNA from Syngnathoides biaculeatus (alligator pipefish), 548 nucleotides. RefSeq lists it as uncharacterized. NCBI's taxonomy places the organism in Eukaryota, Metazoa, Chordata, Actinopteri, Syngnathiformes, Syngnathidae. The transcript has 3 exons. The record is from RefSeq and is a predicted model, not a curated record.